This 74-nucleotide transfer RNA is filed under the name Crocinitomicaceae bacterium. RNAcentral's name for it is "tRNA-Arg". It matches the Rfam family "tRNA". Rfam says of the family: Transfer RNA (tRNA) molecules are approximately 80 nucleotides in length. Their secondary structure includes four short double-helical elements and three loops (D, anti-codon, and T loops). Lineage: Bacteria; Pseudomonadati; Bacteroidota; Flavobacteriia; Flavobacteriales; Crocinitomicaceae. The record is from RNAcentral.
GCCCCGGUAGCUCAGUCGGAUAGAGCAGCGGACUUCUAAUCCGCAGGUCGAAGGUUCGAAUCCUUCCCGGGGUG